Sinocyclocheilus rhinocerous is the source of this 217-nucleotide long non-coding RNA. RefSeq lists it as uncharacterized. The transcript has 3 exons. The record is from RefSeq and is a predicted model, not a curated record. Lineage: Eukaryota; Metazoa; Chordata; Actinopteri; Cypriniformes; Cyprinidae.
CACCAGCACACACACCAACACACACAUCAGCACACCUUCUCUCCCUUCUCCCAUUCCAUCAUGCCCAACCCAGCAGCACCACUGGUGCGUACCCCUGCCAGACAAUUUGACAAAUACCCCGCUAAAGUGGACACCUUCCAUAGACACAGUUUGGUCCCGUCCUAUCCGUCAGUAAUGACUGGAAUACCUCCUAUGGUUCCACCUGCUGGACCAUUCA